Molecule: ribosomal RNA, 459 nt
Filed under: uncultured bacterium
Lineage: Bacteria
Description: partial 16S ribosomal RNA
Rfam family: Bacterial small subunit ribosomal RNA
Source: RNAcentral
CCUACGGGAGGCAGCAGUGAGGAAUAUUGGUCAAUGGCCGAGAGUCUGAACCAGCCAAGUCGCGUGAGGGAAGACGGCCCUACGGGUUGUAAACCUCUUUUGUCGGGGAGCAAAGAGAGUCACGCGUGACUGAUUGAGAGUACCCGAAGAAAAAGCAUCGGCUAACUCCGUGCCAGCAGCCGCGGUAAUACGGAGGAUUCAAGCGUUAUCCGGAUUUAUUGGGUUUAAAGGGGGCGCAGGCGGAGGGCCAAGUAAGCGGUAAAAUUGCGGGGCCAAACCCCGUACUGCCGUUGAAACUGCAUCCCUUGAGUGCGCGAGAAGUAUGCGGAAUGCGUGGUGUAGCGGUGAAAUGCAUAGAUAUCACGCAGAACUCCGAUUGCGAAGGCAGCAUACCGGCGCGCAACUGACGCUCAUGCACGAAAGCGUGGGUAUCGAACAGGAUUAGAUACCCUUGUAGUC